CCUACGGGAGGCAGCAGUGGGGAAUAUUGGACAAUGGGCGAAAGCCUGAUCCAGCAAUUCCGCGUGUGUGAAGAAGGCCUUCGGGUUGUAAAGCACUUUAGUGGGGGAAGAAACAGCUUGGCCACACCAAGCCUUGACGGUACCCCAAGAAUAAGCACCGGCUAACUCUGUGCCAGCAGCCGCGGUAAUACAGAGGGUGCAAGCGUUAAUCGGAUUUACUGGGCGUAAAGGGUGCGUAGGUGGCUAUUUAAGUCGGAUGUGAAAGCCCGGGGCUCAACCUCGGAAUUGCAUUCGAUACUGAGUGGCUAGAGUUCGGUAGAGGGCGGCGGAAUUUCCGGUGUAGCGGUGAAAUGCGUAGAUAUCGGAAGGAACAUCAAUGGCGAAGGCAGCCGCCUGGGCCUGGACUGACACUGAGGCACGAAAGCGUGGGUAGCAAACAGGAUUAGAUACCCUGGUAGUCCACGCCGUAAACGAUGAGAACUUGACGUUGGUUCGUUUUACGAAUCGGUGUCGCNGCUACGACGAUAAGUUACUCCGUCCGUCGGGUAGGUACGGCCGCGAGGUUAGUAACGUACGAACGGAAAGUUAGACGGCGUGAGACGUGCCGACGGACGACGACCGAGGGAGGUAGG
Molecule: ribosomal RNA, 632 nt
Filed under: uncultured bacterium
Lineage: Bacteria
Description: bacterial SSU rRNA
Rfam family: Bacterial small subunit ribosomal RNA (bases 1-539)
Source: RNAcentral